CUCAGUGUGUGCCUGGGACCUGCGGAGGCCAGCAGAGGGCGUGAACUCCUUUGGAACUGGACUUAUAGGUGAAGUUUCACUUCUGGAGUGUACUAUCCUCCAUCGGCAACUUCUGUUUUCCAAAUCCUCGUUAAAGCUGGAGACGCUCCGACGCAAAGACUCGAGCUCCCUACUAGAUGGAAAUUUAAUUACGGCUGGUCUGACAGAGCAAUGCAACCAGACUAACAAGAAUGAAGAUCGACUAAAGACCCACUUGUGGGGCUGGAGACAUGGUUCAGAUCUUAAGCGCACUGGCUGCUCUUCCAGAGGACCUCGGUUCGAUUCUCAGCAAGAGGCAAGGGCAGGCUGACGCCUGUGAGCUCCAGCUCUGCUCUACACAAUGGUGACAGUUUUGAGAAGAAUGUAACAAGCCAAACUGCACACUCCUGCUGCCACAGCCAGGAGCUGCUCUAGACUCCGUGAGUGCCACCACGCCUUCCAUCAUGAUUUGAUGAAUUACCCCUGGAUAGUAAAUAUGAAAUUUGAACCUGCCAAACUUGUCUGCAGCAGAGGCAGCACCUUAUUCUCCUGCAUUGAUGGAUCGGGGUUCUAAGCUCACAUUCUCUCAACGAUUGUCUCUCAUAGUUACAGCCAGCCUAGUGAGCAGAAAGCUAU
This 654-nucleotide long non-coding RNA is filed under the name Cricetulus griseus (Chinese hamster). RNAcentral describes it as "lncRNA (ENSCGRG00015032645.1)". Lineage: Eukaryota; Metazoa; Chordata; Mammalia; Rodentia; Cricetidae. The record is from RNAcentral.